GGUCAAGUAGAUAAGAGCAUAAGGCGGAUGCCUUGGCACUGGGAGCCGAAGAAGGACGUGACAAGCUGCGAUAAGCUCAGGUUAGGCGCAAAUAGCCGAUCGACCCUGAGAUGUCCGAAUGAGGAAACUCACCUGCGGCAAUGCGCAGGUACCGUACCGUGAAUACAUAGCGGUGCGGGGGGAACGCGGGGAACUGAAACAUCUAAGUACCCGUAGGAAAAGAAAGAAACAUCGAUUCCCUAAGUAGCGGCGAGCGAACGGGGAAGAGCCCAAACCGAGCCUUCGGGCGAGGGGUUGCGGGCCGUCAGAGUUUGUAAAGGAUGUUAGCCGAAUAGCUUUGGAAAGAGCAGCCGCAGACGGUAAAAGCCCGGUAGGCGAAAACAGCCGAUACGAAAGACGGUACCAGAGUAGCGCCGGACACGUGUAAUCCGGCGUGAAACAGGAGGGCCCACCCUCCAAGGCUAAAUACUACCCAGUGACCGAUAGCGAAUAGUACCGUGAGGGAAAGGUGAAAAGAACCCCGGGAGGGGAGUGAAAUAGAAUCUGAAACCUUAUGCUUACAAGCAGAGGGAGCGCAAGUGACCUCGUACUUUUUGUAGAACGGGCCA
Molecule: ribosomal RNA, 608 nt
Filed under: Eubacteriales Family XIII. Incertae Sedis bacterium
Lineage: Bacteria; Bacillati; Bacillota; Clostridia; Peptostreptococcales; Anaerovoracaceae
Description: partial 23S ribosomal RNA
Rfam family: Bacterial large subunit ribosomal RNA
Source: RNAcentral